UCUCAUCAUGACUCAUGAGACUAGUUAUGUGACAAGAAAAGUAAAAUUAUAUUUAACAUAACCAAAUUACACUUUGAGACUUUAUCUUGUAAUUAGCGUGCACAUGUCUUAAUAUGCACGGGUCGGCCAAAUCCAUGGAAGGAUAAGGAGGGAGGGGCAACAAAUUGAAUCUCCAUUAAUUUAUUUAAUUAUGGGAAAUACCGCUCAAUGCCACUCACAUCCAAACUUAAUCUACAAAUACCACCUUUACUCACACAUUUUGCAAAUACAACCUAUAAAUACUUACUUAUUGCCCACAUAACAUUUUUUCUUAGUUUUUGUUUUCUCUCUCAACUCUCUCUCGCGCAGUUCUCUUCCUCUGUUAGCUCUCUCUGUGGUUCGCUUCGCGAAACCCAUCUCAUCCUCUUAUCUCUCUCUUAUGAAUCGUGAAACCCCCCUCGACCCCAUCCUCUAGAUCUCUCUUUCGAAUUGCCUAAGGUCCCAUCUGCUUGCAACCUCGAAGCUCAUCUCCUUUGCCGACCUCCAAUUGGCUGUCUUCUAGGUCUCUCAUUAUUGAUUGCUCUGGUUUCUUGCAUUUAGUCUUGAUGGUCAUUUUCAUAAUCUUUGUGGGUUUCUCUAAAAUUGAUUUUAUUUUGAUUGCUCUGAGUUAUGUGUUUUGAAUCUUCAUGCUCAUCAAUUUGGGUUUUUUACUAAAUGGAUUUAGAUUGCACUGAAUCUUGAAACUUUGGAUUUUUCAUUUGAUGUAGUAGAUUUGUAUUGUCUGAUUAUGAUGAUUAGGUAGUGUAGGGCUUCUUCUUUUAAAAAAGUGUUUGGGAGCUUUUUAAAGUUUUAUCAAAAAUAGCCAAAAUUUACCCCCUAUUUUCAUAAAUAUUAGUUUUUAUAAAAACUUUCACAUAUAGCAGAAAACCCACUUCAAUAGACCAAAUUACCCUUAGAAUUAAAAAAAAAAAAACAUUUGCAAUUCUUUUUCUUUGUACCUUAAGUUGCUGAAGUUUGAAAUUUGGAUUACUCCCCGUAGCCAGUCCAAACCAAAUUAGCUUACUAUGACGAUAAUGAAAACUUCGCCUGAGGAUCGCCAAUCCAUCAACACAUCCAUGGUCCCCCACACCAAGCUUUGUACAACAACAUGACUUC
Molecule: long non-coding RNA, 1134 nt
Filed under: Prunus persica (peach)
Lineage: Eukaryota; Viridiplantae; Streptophyta; Magnoliopsida; Rosales; Rosaceae
Description: long non-coding RNA (PPER_LNC001162)
Source: RNAcentral